Molecule: non-coding RNA, 75 nt
Organism: Perkinsus olseni
Lineage: Eukaryota; Perkinsozoa; Perkinsida; Perkinsidae
Source: the annotation of a GenBank genome assembly
GCCUGUCUAGCUUCCAGUCGGUAGAGCGCAAGGCUCUUAACCUUGUGGUCGUGGGUCUGAGCCCCACGGUGGGUG